RNAcentral lists this ribosomal RNA (491 nucleotides) under uncultured bacterium. Its description in RNAcentral is "partial 16S ribosomal RNA". It matches the Rfam family "Bacterial small subunit ribosomal RNA", at positions 29 to 506 of the family's 1533-position model. The record is from RNAcentral.
AGUGAACGCUGGCGGUAGGCCUAACACAUGCAAGUCGAACGGCAGCACAGUUAGAGCUUGCUCUUACGGGUGGCGAGUGGCGGACGGGUGAGGUAUACAUCGGACUCUACUUUUUCGUGGGGGAUAACGUAGGGAAACUUACGCUAAUACCGCAUACGACCUACGGGUGAAAGCAGGGGAUCUUGGGACCUUGCGCGAUUGAAUGAGCCGAUGUCGGAUUAGCUAGUUGGCGGGGAAAAGGCCCACCAAGGCAACGAUCCGUAGCUGGUCUGAGAGGUUGAUCGGCCACACUGGAACUGGGACACGGUCCAGACUCCUACGGAAGGCAGCAGUGGGAAAUAUUGGACAAUGGGCGCAAGCCUGAUCCAGCCAUACCGCGGGAGUGAAGAAGGCCUUCGGGUUGUAAAGCCCUUUUGUUGGGAAAGAAAAGCAGCAGGUUAAAACCCCGCUGUUCUGACGGUACCGAAAGAAUAAGCACCGGCUAACUUCGU